This is a non-coding RNA of Nicotiana tabacum (common tobacco), 881 nucleotides long. The record is from RefSeq and is a predicted model, not a curated record. NCBI's taxonomy places the organism in Eukaryota, Viridiplantae, Streptophyta, Magnoliopsida, Solanales, Solanaceae.
UCUCUCAUUUUCUAACCUAGACACACAUUAAAAGACAUAAGGAAAAUCAGACUCCUCUCUCACAGACCAAAAAACGGCGCAACCCAGCUCCCUUCUUCUGUUUGCUUUUUUCAUUUCUCAAAACACACACACAUCAAUCAUACCCACACACCUAGGCUGCUGGAAGAAGAAACAUGCAUUUCGAAAUUUAAGAUCGAGAAAACCAAAAAGGAACGAAAAGCUAUAAAAAGAAGAAGAAGAAGAAGGACGAACAAUAGAGUGAUUGGUUGUUUCAGAUUCAAUUGAUUCACAAUCAAACUUGUGGUUAUUUGUUGUCGAUUCCGAAUUGAUUUGCCUGGGUUCAAAAUUUCCUUCCUCUUGUUCGGGAUUGUUCUUGCUGUUCAUCACUGAUGAACUUCACGAAUUAGGAGUUCUAGGCUUUUAUUUGGUUUUUGAGCUAUUGUUUCCCUGCUUUAGGAGUGUUUAAACACCCCAAAAUUGCUGAUUGACUGUUGAAUAUAUGGCUGCUUGUUGGGUCUUGUCAUCUUCAUUUGUGCUCGAGUUUGGCCGAUUCAAUUCCUGACUCAGGCAUUAGGUUAUGAUGUUCGGUCGUGUCCUAGCCUCGUCACUACUUCACCAAGAUCCCGGUACUGGACCUUACGAAUCGUAGUUCGAGGUUGAUGCCUACAGUCUAGUGGAGACCCAAGGUAGUCCUGCAGGCGUCCGUAGGCCUUGAUGUCUCCUUCUAUCAUAUUUACAUUCUGUUUUUAUCUAUUUAUGAUAUAGAUGUGUAUUUUCCUUAUUCAGACCACUAUUCAUAGAUUCGUAGACAGUUCGUGAAAUUGUGACAUUAGUUCUAGGGGAAGUUUCAUUUUGGAUUUUAUAUUAAUAUUUAGUUAAAC